This 271-nucleotide ribosomal RNA is filed under the name uncultured bacterium. RNAcentral's name for it is "partial 16S ribosomal RNA". It matches the Rfam family "Bacterial small subunit ribosomal RNA", at positions 524 to 794 of the family's 1533-position model. The record is from RNAcentral.
UACGUAGGUGGCGAACGUUGUCCGGAUUCACUGGGCGUAAAGCGCGCGCAGGCGGACUGAUAAGUCAGAGGUGAAAUCUCCCGGCUCAACUGGGAGGGGCCCUUUGAUACUGUCAGUCUUGAGGCACCUAGAGGAGAGUGGAAUUCCCGGUGUAGUGGUGGAAUGCGUAGAUAUCGGGAGGAACACCAGUGGCGAAAGCAGCUGCCUGGGCCUUUACUGACGCUAAGACUCGAAAGCUAGGGGAGCAAACAGGAUUAGAAACCCGUGUAGU